Trichonephila clavipes is the source of this 66-nucleotide non-coding RNA. NCBI's taxonomy places the organism in Eukaryota, Metazoa, Arthropoda, Arachnida, Araneae, Nephilidae. The record is from the annotation of a GenBank genome assembly.
GUAGCGCAAUGGUUAGCGCGUAGGACUCGUAAUCCAAAGGUCGUGGGUUUGAAUUCUACUUGGCCU